Molecule: small RNA, 5001 nt
Filed under: Rattus norvegicus (Norway rat)
Lineage: Eukaryota; Metazoa; Chordata; Mammalia; Rodentia; Muridae
Description: uncharacterized LOC108348412
Source: RNAcentral
CCACCACCACCACCACCAAAGCCUUCCAUCAGCUUUGUUUUGCAAGGCAGAAACCGAGGCACAGACGGGCUAAGGGCUUCCCAAGUCAUACAGCACCCCAUUGGUAGGACUACCCCCGCCAUCCAAGGCCCUGGCCUUUGGCCUGCUAGACUCACCUGGGCCUCAUCUAGUGGGGAAGACUUAGCCAAGAGCUGGGUAGAAGAGGAAUGAGUAAGGGAGCAGAGGCUGUGCCAUCAGGCUCCAUUUUCACAGAACAGGCUGAGUAAUGGCCCCCAUAGGUAAAUAGCUUGGUAGCCAUAGUGCAGAGCUACUGCCUCUGGUCCCAAUCUAUGCCCUGCCAAGCCCCAUUUCUGCAGGGAUAUCAUUGCUCAUCUUAAAGUGGUAGGCCAGACCCUGGCAGUGGUGAUGGUGGUGGUGGAAGUGGUGGUGGUGGUGGCAGCUGUGGUGGGGAGGCUCUAACAUCCUGAAAGCCAUCUACAGAGGACAUUGAAGACGGGGUGGGACUAAAGCUCAUGUCCACUGUGGUGGCAGAUCCUCUGGGCAUGUAAGCCUCUGUUGCUUUUGUAGGCCCAGAGCCCUUCUCCUUACACUCCCUGUGACUGGAGUGAAGGAGUGGGUAGUUGGCCUGCAGCUUGGGCGUGGCUUGCUGGGUGGAGGUGGCCAGGCUCAGGGCUGCCUGGGCUAUGACACUUCUGUGAACCUCACUCCCUCUGGGUACCUAUUAGCAUGCUACUCCAAGGGGGGCUGGUAAACGUUAACUGGCCUUCCGGCCUUUAGCAGCCAGGGGGUCAGGGAAAGGUCACUGAAACCUGCAGGAUUGAUAGUCUAGGCAUCAGUCUCUACCCAGUUCUUCCAGGGUGAGAACGAACCACCGGGAGCCCAUUUCCACAGAAAUCCUUUUCAGGGGUCUCUUUACUAUGGGCCCGGUCUUCUCCAGCCUCUAAGUCCACAUCUGGGGUUGGGAAGGUGUGUAGCGAGAGCCAGUGGGCAGACUCUGAAUAGAUGGCAGGCCUUGGAAUUUGGGGGCCUGGCCAGGUGUGACCCCAGUGCCUGACCUCUGUGGCCUGGAGGGUAAAGAGGUGGGAGGUGGGGGUUGGGAGGAGGUUACUGGCUAACAGUUACCAGGACCUUUGAAGCUAUAAAUGCUUCCCCGGGCCCCUGCUGGGAUGGAUGGGGUCAGAGUUCACUGGUUGUCUGGCUCUCCAAGUGGGCUGGAAAUCUUGCAGGCAGAUGGAGUAGGGACCCAUGGAAUGGGACAUUCCCAGAGGUGGAAGGCUCAUGGGAAAUGUUAUUUUUGGUGCUCUGGCUUGGCUCAGGCCCAACGACUUGGAGGCCUUGGGAGGGGCUGAUAGAAGUUGUUUUUGUCACAUACUCACUCGUCUCUCGGGUAUGUUUCCCAAGUUGUGUUUGGUCACACCAAGAUCGGCUUCUGAAUGAUGGAGACCUUGCAGUCGGCCUCUGCCUGACCUGGCAAGGAGGAAGAACACGGUCGGGUCUCCUGAUUCAUUGUGUCUCAAUGGGUCCAGUAGACUGGAUAACGGGGUACAUAUGAAAAAAACGGGGAGCAAGAGGAGUCAACAUUCAGGCCUUCAGCACCCGAAUGGACUAAGCUUACUGAAGUCACCGGCAGGUGGAACUGGCUCCACUGGAGAUCAUCUAUGUCUGGUGGCUCACAGAUCGAGGUUCCACUGAGAAUCCCCUGUGAGGCUCAGAGCACUUCUGAGAAGACAUACACAAGCGGCACCAGAACCCUCAGAACUAACAGAAAUACAGACGGAAGCAGAAAAGCAGCGACGAUCCCAGAAAAUGGCUGUUAACAUAUCGAUGCCGUAAGACUUUAAGAUCGCCUGAAAUUGAUUCUCAUAAUUUCCCCCCGGCGCUUGAGAUUGUUUUCCCGUUGCUCUUGCAGCUUCUGCUGGACGCGGUAGCUCAAGUGGAGUCAAUGUGCGUUCAGACCUUCGAGCUCCCACCUCACGCCUGAGCAUGCCACCACCCGCUUGCUCCUACCCAGACUGCAGUGACUUAAGAUGCACUGACUCUCGUGUCCUUUCCACCCAGAUUGUCCUUUAAAGCCACAUACCUGCUCUUAUCUUUCUUGCGGACUCUCUGCUUGUUCCUUCUCGCGUUAGGGAUGACUUAGAGGCAGUAUCGACCCCAUGCUUCUGCCCCCAUUGCUCAGGAUCCGUUGCCGCACAUCCUUCUUACAACCCUUGGAGGAGCUGCAUCGCUGUUUGGCUCCAAGUCUAUGCAGAUGACUUCACUUUCCUCCCAGCUGGUUCAUGUGGACUCAGGUCUGGCUUCAAACGCAGUACCUCCGAGAAGCCUCUUCUUGAUCAUGGCCCUGUUUCCACUCUCCGUGACGGAGCUGAUUGUAUUUAUGCCACCAUUCGGGUGGCUGUCGUGUAGUAACUCUGUCUCUGUUUCUUAGUCUAUUCUUGAGCAACUUUAGCGGACUAUCAGAGUGGAUAAUUUAUAAGGAAAAUUAUCAUAGACCGCUUGUGAUUAUGAGGCCGUGAAGUCCAUCUGGCAAGGGCUCCAUGCUGUACCACAUCCCAGUGGAAGACAUUUCAUGGCAAAAGAGCUCUCUCGAGGAUGGAAAUACGAGCACCGAAGAAGUUGAGUUUGAUCCUUAACAGACACAGCCCACAGCCACGCUUGGCAAUCUUGAGGAUAUUGCCCUCGUGCCCAAUUUCCUUUUAAAGUCCAACCUCUAAACGCUGUCACCAAGGCACUGCAAUUUCAAUAUGACUUUCAGAUAGCGUUUUUAUAUCAUAGUGCCCCGUGCCCCAUACACUGGACAUAAGGCAGGGUGAGCCCAUUUUGCAAACCACAGUAUUUGUUCCUCCUGGCAGCCCUCCCUUUCCUCCCCAGGGGAGCCCAGCUCAUAAAAAUCCACAAAGCUCAUGGCACAUAGCGACUGGCAGCUGUUGAGGAUUCCACCUUCAACAGUAUGUGGAGAGAUGUCAAUGGAUAAGAUGGGCCCCUGAGCUGUCCAGUAAGGUAGAUCUGUGAAGCACAGCUUUGCUACUUUGCUUUUGAUAUACGAAAGGCAAGUCCCAUUCUGGACAGAGCAUCCGGGAUUGAACUCCUUCGUGGAGCCAAGCUUCCACCUCAGCCCUGUAGACUGAUGUGCUCUGAAAGAACUUCUAUAAGUUAGAGAGAGGUUUACCUCCCUUAAAACAGUUAAGUAUUGAUUGUCUCUGUUCUCCAGACAAACAUCAAGUUCGCUCGAUAACUACUUAAUACAUACUGGCAUUCUAUAUAGCAGUAGGGUGCCAGGCAGUGGGUGCAGAGAGCUGAAUAGGCACACGGGGAGAGCUCAGCUGGGAAACACUAAUUACAGCUCACAAAGUCCGCUUAUGUAGUCAUCUUGAUUUGUCACAACAACUUUGUGACGCAUGUGCCAUUAGGACCACUUUACAGUUCAGGAAACGAAGGCUUGGUGAGUUUGCAUUUGAAGGAGUUACAGCCCAAGGCCAAAUGUUUUCACUUCGACUCCAGGUCGACUCUUGAGGAAGCUGACAGUAUAGAUUCGCUGCUCCACGGAGUCUCAUGGUUCAGUCCCCAAGCCCUCCACGCUGAUGAACUUGGUCCCAGCACAUAUGAUGGCGCCCAAGCAUCUUGUUCGGACCCAGUCACGUGGAAACAGCCCUGCCAGUUGCAGAUGGUGCUCCAACGGCCAACUAGGAAAGGCAUCAGCCCUGAGAACUGGAGUCUAGAGAGGAAUUCAGGGUGGUUAUUCAUCCUGGGCAUCAAAGCUGGUGGCUCAGCCAGUGACCUUUAUUUCAGGACAGUUCAAGAGGCAUGUUUUCAUCAGCCACUGCGCAGCGAGAGAAGAUAGACGUACUGAUCCCAAGCACUGAGUGUCUAACGCGGGGGCAUCUCAGCAAAUGGCUUCAUGGUUCACAUUACAUGGUACUCAUGACCCUUGGAAAAAAUUCCGCUCCAGGACUGACAGAUCUAUAGCUUUCUGGCUUCACAUGCAAGGCAAGCAAUCUUUGCCUCUCCUUUGUAGUUUUCUCUUACUGGUCUUGGCUUGGUUGGGCAGCGUAAACACAGUGCCUUUGCUCUGGGGCAUUCCGUCAGCUAUUAAGUGUGCAGGGAGUCCCCACUUGAGCCUUAGCCACACUUAGACAUGUCUGAGCAAGCCUGGAGAGCUGUGAUGUGGGUCUGCUAGCAACCGAUGUGUGCCUGAGCCUCCUGGGAAGGAUGAAAGAAUCGGGCACAACCUGGGUAACGACAAUGUUGCUCGCUUGUAGCAAGAGAUGAGCAAUUGAACACUGGUGAGAGGCCACAACUGCAUUCAGCCAUAACUCAGCCCCCACUGGACUUCUUAGGAGAUUUGGGGGAUGAAUAGGAAGUGUACAGGAGAUUGGGGGGUGGGGGGAUGGGGAGCAAGGGAGGGAGGGAAGGAAAGAGAGAACGAGGGAGAGACUAUGGUUUAAUGCAGUACACUGCAAUCACCGGGAAUCACUGGUCUUGAGAACUAACCAUAGUAGAGAGAGGCCUUGCCCUCAACUCUAUGGCACAGCCUAAGCUUCUAAGGCCUCCAGCACCUCUGAAGUUGCAAGGACUUGAGCGCUCAGCAAGAGGUAGCUGUUUCCAGAGUCCUAGUAAGAAAUCUGAAGCAACCCAAGGAGAAAAAAAUUAGCCAGUGAUUUGUGUAGCUCUCAGGUCUCAUCAGAGCUAUCUGAUGAGAAGGGAAGCCCCAUCCCUUCCACCAGGGCUCAGAGAAUAUCUUGGAAGAUGGUACAGAAAGACUGCAAAAGCUAUUAAGAAUGCUGCACUCAGGAACCCGCAGCCACAGCUGGCAUGAGACUUGCACAAGAUCAAGCUAGUCAACAUUCUAGCAUAGAGGGGCUCAUGAGCCCCUACACCUAGCUGAGGAGCUAUUCAACAGUUGACGGCUGGCAGGGGAGAGAGAGUCAGUUUCUUAGUCCAAUGGAUGGACCCAUACCCACGGAUAUAUAGAUUCUGUAGAUUAUUGAAGAAGGAGAGAGG